This 72-nucleotide transfer RNA is filed under the name Ovis aries (sheep). It matches the Rfam family "tRNA". From Rfam's summary of the family: Transfer RNA (tRNA) molecules are approximately 80 nucleotides in length. The record is from Rfam by way of RNAcentral. Lineage: Eukaryota; Metazoa; Chordata; Mammalia; Artiodactyla; Bovidae.
UCCCUGGUGGCUCAGAGGGUAAAGAAUCUGCCUGCAAUUCAGGAGACCCAGGUUCGAUCCCUGGGUCGGGAA